This 103-nucleotide non-coding RNA is filed under the name Clostridium chauvoei. RNAcentral's name for it is "SAM-I sequence". It matches the Rfam family "SAM riboswitch aptamer (S box leader)". From Rfam's summary of the family: The SAM riboswitch is found upstream of a number of genes which code for proteins involved in methionine or cysteine biosynthesis in Gram-positive bacteria. The record is from RNAcentral. RNAcentral also lists the same sequence under 1 other name. Lineage: Bacteria; Bacillati; Bacillota; Clostridia; Eubacteriales; Clostridiaceae.
UUCUUAUCCAGAGAGGUGGAGGGAAAGGGCCCUACGAAACCCGGCAACCUGUGAUUUCACAAAGGUGCCAAUUCCUGUGGAAUAUUAUUUCACAAGAUAAGAA